RNAcentral lists this transfer RNA (57 nucleotides) under Dermacentor albipictus. RNAcentral describes it as "tRNA-Ser". The record is from RNAcentral. Lineage: Eukaryota; Metazoa; Arthropoda; Arachnida; Ixodida; Ixodidae.
AAGAUUAAUACAGUUAGGCUUCUAACCUAAAAUUAAUGAUUAAUUCAUUUAAUCUUU